AUGAACGCUGGCGGCGUGCCUAAUACAUGCAAGUCGAGCGAACAGACGAGGAGCUUGCUCCUCUGACGUUAGCGGCGGACGGGUGAGUAACACGUGGAUAACCUUCCUAUAAGACUGGGAUAACUUCGGGAAACCGGAGCUAAUACCGGAUAAUAUAUUGAACCGCAUGGUUCAAUAGUGAAAGACGGUUUUGCUGUCACUUAUAGAUGGAUCCGCGCCGCAUUAGCUAGUUGGUAAGGUAACGGCUUACCAAGGCAACGAUGCGUAGCCGACCUGAGAGGGUGGUCGGCCACACUGGAACUGAGACACGGUCCAGACUCCUACGGGAGGCAGCAGUAGGGAAUCUUCCGCAAUGGGCGAAAGCCUGACGGAGCAACGCCGCGUGAGUGAUGAAGGUCUUCGGAUCGUAAAACUCUGUUAUUAGGGAAGAACAAAUGUGUAAGUAACUAUGCACGUCUUGACGGUACCUAAUCAGAAAGCCACGGCUAACUACGUG
This 496-nucleotide ribosomal RNA is filed under the name uncultured bacterium. RNAcentral's name for it is "partial 16S ribosomal RNA". It matches the Rfam family "Bacterial small subunit ribosomal RNA", at positions 29 to 507 of the family's 1533-position model. The record is from RNAcentral.